AUUGAACGCUGGCGGCAGGCCUAACACAUGCAAGUCGAGCGGUAGAGAGAAGCUUGCUUCUCUUGAGAGCGGCGGACGGGUGAGUAAUACCUAGGAAUCUGCCUGAUAGUGGGGGAUAACGUUCGGAAACGGACGCUAAUACCGCAUACGUCCUACGGGAGAAAGCAGGGGACCUUCGGGCCUUGCGCUAUAAGAUGAGCCUAGGUCGGAUUAGCUAGUUGGUGAGGUAAUGGCUCACCAAGGCUACGAUCCGUAACUGGUCUGAGAGGAUGAUCAGUCACACUGGAACUGAGACACGGUCCAGACUCCUACGGGAGGCAGCAGUGGGGAAUAUUGGACAAUGGGCGAAAGCCUGAUCCAGCCAUGCCGCGUGUGUGAAGAAGGUCUUCGGAUUGUAAAGCACUUUAAGUUGGGAGGAAGGGCAUUAACCUAAUACGUUAGUGUCUUGACGUUACCGACAGAAUAAGCACCGGCUAACUCUGUGCCAGCAGCCGCGGUAA
This 500-nucleotide ribosomal RNA is filed under the name uncultured bacterium. RNAcentral's name for it is "bacterial SSU rRNA". It matches the Rfam family "Bacterial small subunit ribosomal RNA", at positions 30 to 523 of the family's 1533-position model. The record is from RNAcentral.